CCUACGGGAGGCUGCAGUGGGGAAUAUUGCACAAUGGGGGAAACCCUGAUGCAGCAACGCCGCGUGAGUGAUGAAGUAUUUCGGUAUGUAAAGCUCUAUCAGCAGGGAAUUGAAGAGAAGGUACCUGAAAAAGAAGCCCCUGCUAACUGCGUGCCAGCAGCCGCGGUAAUACGCAGGGGGCAAGCGUUAUCCGGAUGUACUGGGUGUAAAGGGAGUGUAGACGGAAAGGCAAGUCAGAAGGGAAAACCCAAGGCUCAACCAUGGGACUGCUUUUGAAACUGGCAAACUAGAGUACGGGAGAGGUAAGAGGAAUGCGUAGUGUAGCGGUGAAAUGCGUAGAUAUUAGGAGGAACACCAGUGGCGAAGGCGGCUUACUGGACCGAAACUGACGUUGAGGCUCGAAAGCGUGGGGAGCGAACAGGAUUAGAUACCCUUGUAGUC
This 441-nucleotide ribosomal RNA is filed under the name uncultured bacterium. RNAcentral describes it as "partial 16S ribosomal RNA". It matches the Rfam family "Bacterial small subunit ribosomal RNA", at positions 338 to 795 of the family's 1533-position model. The record is from RNAcentral.